Molecule: unclassified non-coding RNA, 397 nt
Filed under: Hevea brasiliensis (rubber tree)
Lineage: Eukaryota; Viridiplantae; Streptophyta; Magnoliopsida; Malpighiales; Euphorbiaceae
Source: RNAcentral
GGCUCCGCGGAACAGUUUUUCCAGAACAAUUCGAUUGCGGAUUUCAUGAGGUUCAAGAGACGCUCCGAUAGAAGCAGCGGCGAGUUGCAGACUGCUGUUGUUAGUUACAGAAAGAGGUUUCNNNNNNNNNNNNUUUCUUCGGGUUGAUUUGGUUUCGACUAUUCACAUUGCAGAUAAAGAUUACUUCACCACCCUCCAGAAGGAACUUGAGCCCUAUGAUUGUGUCCUAUAUGAGAUGGUGGCUAGCAGGGAUAGUUUAGAGAAUAGAAGAAAUCCUGCUGCUACGAAGAGGCUGAAAAGUUCGCGCUCCAGAGGAUUCAACAUUCUAGGGUGCAUUCAGCGACAGAUGGCUAGGAUUCUUAUGCUUGAUUUCCAGUUAGACUGUCUUGAUUACCAG